This 308-nucleotide unclassified non-coding RNA is filed under the name uncultured Laboulbeniomycetes. RNAcentral's name for it is "sequence contains ITS2". The stretch from base 1 to 52 matches the Rfam family "5.8S ribosomal RNA", at positions 103 to 154 of the family's 154-position model. The record is from RNAcentral. Lineage: Eukaryota; Fungi; Ascomycota; Laboulbeniomycetes.
AACGCAUAUUGCGCCUUCUGGUACUCCAGGAGGCAUGCCUGUCUGAGCGUCAUUACAUCAUUUAAACCAACUUGUUGUGUUUAGACUUGGGAGUUUGAUUACUGAACUGGCAUCUGCUAGUUUGUUGUAUAUCUCUUCUGUAAUGUAUUGAUAGCGAUACAAGCCUUCAGUCGUAACAAGUUUACUUUUUGUUUACAUUCGACUUUGAUUGCCUGUGUUACAUUGUCUAUUUCUUUUCGACAUGGCUUUUGCCAUUGUCAACCUAAAGAUUUGACCUCAGAUCAGGUAGGAAUACCCGCUGAACUUAA